GAUGAACGCUGGCGGCGUGCCUAAUACAUGCAAGUCGAGCGAACGGACGAGAAGCUUGCUUCUCUGAUGUUAGCGGCGGACGGGUGAGUAACACGUGGAUAACCUACCUAUAAGACUGGGAUAACUUCGGGAAACCGGAGCUAAUACCGGAUAAUAUUUUGAACCGCAUGGUUCAAAAGUGAAAGACGGUCUUGCUGUCACUUAUAGAUGGAUCCGCGCUGCAUUAGCUAGUUGGUAAGGUAACGGCUUACCAAGGCAACGAUGCAUAGCCGACCUGAGAGGGUGUUCGGCCACACUGGAACUGAGACACGGUCCAGACUCCUACGGGAGGCAGCAGUAGGGAAUCUUCCGCAAUGGGCGAAAGCCUGACGGAGCAACGCCGCGUGAGUGAUGAAGGUCUUCGGAUCGUAAAACUCUGUUAUUAGGGAAGAACAUAUGUGUAAGUAACUGUGCACAUCUUGACGGUACCUAAUCAGAAAGCCACGGCUAACUACGUG
Molecule: ribosomal RNA, 497 nt
Filed under: uncultured bacterium
Lineage: Bacteria
Description: partial 16S ribosomal RNA
Rfam family: Bacterial small subunit ribosomal RNA
Source: RNAcentral